Molecule: ribosomal RNA, 1836 nt
Filed under: Lacticaseibacillus paracasei
Lineage: Bacteria; Bacillati; Bacillota; Bacilli; Lactobacillales; Lactobacillaceae
Description: partial 23S ribosomal RNA
Rfam family: Bacterial large subunit ribosomal RNA
Source: RNAcentral
GGUUAAGUUAAUAAGGGCGCACGGUGGAUGCCUUGGCACUAGAAGCCGAAGAAGGACGUGACAAACGACGAAAUGCUUUGGGGAGCUGUAAGUAAGCGCUGAUCCAGAGAUGUCCGAAUGGGGGAACCCACUAACUAAUGGUUAGUAUCCAUAACUGUUAAGGUUAUGAGAAGGAAGACGCAGUGAACUGAAACAUCUAAGUAGCUGCAGGAAGAGAAAGCAAACGCGAUUGCCUUAGUAGCGGCGAGCGAAACGGCAGGAGGGCAAACCGAAGUGUUUACACUUCGGGGUUGUAGGACUGCGACGUGGGACUUUAAAAGGAUAGAAGAAUUACCUGGGAAGGUAAGCCAAAGAGAGUAAAAGCCUCGUAUUUAAAAUUCUUUUGAGCCCUAGCAGUAUCCUGAGUACGGCGAGACACGUGAAAUCUCGUUGGAAUCUGGGAGGACCAUCUCCCAACCCUAAAUACUCUCUAGUGACCGAUAGUGAACCAGUACCGUGAGGGAAAGGUGAAAAGCACCCCGGGAGGGGAGUGAAAUAGAACCUGAAACCGUGUGCCUACAACAAGUUCGAGCCCGUUAAUGGGUGAGAGCGUGCCUUUUGUAGAAUGAACCGGCGAGUUACGAUAUGAUGCGAGGUUAAGUUGAAGAGACGGAGCCGUAGGGAAACCGAGUCUUAAUAGGGCGAUUUAGUAUCAUGUUGUAGACCCGAAACCAUGUGACCUACCCAUGAGCAGGUUGAAGGUGAGGUAAAACUCACUGGAGGACCGAACCAGGGCACGUUGAAAAGUGCUUGGAUGACUUGUGGGUAGCGGAGAAAUUCCAAACGAACUUGGAGAUAGCUGGUUCUCUCCGAAAUAGCUUUAGGGCUAGCGUCGAUGUUAAGUCUCUUGGAGGUAGAGCACUGUUUGGGUGAGGGGUCCAUCUCGGAUUACCAAUCUCAGAUAAACUCCGAAUGCCAACGAGAUAUCAUCGGCAGUCAGACUGCGAGUGCUAAGAUCCGUAGUCGAAAGGGAAACAGCCCAGACCACCAGCUAAGGUCCCAAAAUAACUGUUAAGUGGAAAAGGAUGUGGGGUUGCACAGACAACUAGGAUGUUAGCUUAGAAGCAGCUAUUCAUUCAAAGAGUGCGUAAUAGCUCACUAGUCGAGUGACCCUGCGCCGAAAAUGUACCGGGGCUAAAACAGUUUACCGAAGCUGUGGAUGACACAAAAGUGUCAUGGUAGGAGAGCGUUCUAUGUGUGAAGAAGGUGUACCGUGAGGAGCGCUGGAACGCAUAGAAGUGAGAAUGCCGGUAUGAGUAGCGAAAGACAGGUGAGAAUCCUGUCCACCGUAAGACUAAGGUUUCCAGGGGAAGGCUCGUCCGCCCUGGGUUAGUCGGGACCUAAGGAGAGACCGAAAGGUGUAUCCGAUGGCCAACAGGUUGAUAUUCCUGUACUAGAGUAUAUAGUGAUGGAGGGACGCAGUAGGCUAACUAAACCGGACGAUUGGAAGAGUCCGGCUAAGCAGUGAGGUGUAAGAUGAGUCAAAUGCUUAUCUUUAUAACAUUGAGCUGUGAUGGGGAGCGAAUUUUAGUAGCGAAGUUAGUGAUGUCACACUGCCAAGAAAAGCUUCUAGCGUUUAAUGAUACUCUACCCGUACCGCAAACCGACACAGGUAGUCGAGGCGAGUAGCCUCAGGUGAUCGAGAGAACUCUCGUUAAGGAACUCGGCAAAAUGACCCCGUAACUUCGGGAGAAGGGGUGCUGACUUAGGUCAGCCGCAGUGAAUAGGCCCAAGCAACUGUUUAUCAAAAACACAGCUCUCUGCUAAAUCGUAAGAUGAUGUAUAGGGGGUGACGCC